RNAcentral lists this long non-coding RNA (1269 nucleotides) under Scleropages formosus (Asian bonytongue). RNAcentral's name for it is "lncRNA (ENSSFOG00015030752.1)". Lineage: Eukaryota; Metazoa; Chordata; Actinopteri; Osteoglossiformes; Osteoglossidae. The record is from RNAcentral.
ACUUGGCAUUCAGAACCAGGAAUGUUUUACUUUGCUUUCAUGAGUUGGCUCAGCGGGAUGUGAUAUAGCUCCCCUGGGUCUGGAUUCAGGAGGGUACCGGGCUGAGACUGGGUGUGGUCUCGGGACUUUGCCUGGUUUACAACUGGCGCUGGAAAGAGGGGAGUCAUCUUCGUGGGUUUGCCUGCCACCCAGCUGAUGCUGUCUGAGGUGUAAAUCUGUGUGGCGUGUGUUGGGGUUGGCGGCUGGUCGGAUCCCACUUCAGAGCUUCUCUGCGAUGGUCAGGGUGCUAAGGAUGGUUCCUCGGGGGGGGGCAAAUAUUUAAUAAUCCCCUUCAGUGAUAGUAAUACAACAGUUACGGUUCUUGUGUGUCCUGCCCUGUGCACAGAGCUCGGGAUUUCCUGCCCAGUGCGGGAAGAAUAGGAGCCCACACAUCUGCACGUCGUUUCACCGUGGAUAUUGUCUCCUUGGCAGGAGAUGAUGUUUGCGCUGCUUAAUCGCGCUUUCACGGCUGCCCUCGCUCCAGGGCCGAGAGGCAUAGUGGGCGGCUGCCACGUUCACCCGGAUCCGUUUCUCCGAAGGCAGAACCCUCUUGAAAUUGGACUGCCUUCCGCCCACCGGAGAGAAGGGAAAAACAUGUUUUUUUAGUCUUAAACGACACAAUAUUUGGGCUGAAGCCACUACAUUAUAAUCAUGCCUUUGAUGGCAAGCGAGUGAGCGCAGUCUCGGGGUCCCUUUCGGCGAUGGCUGCGGUUCAACACAUGCGGAGGCACGGCUGGUUAGCGGAGCAGCGUUGGAGGAGCUGCAAGCGGGGAAUAAAUUGCAGGAGCAGCGGUGCUGAUCAAGCAGAAAGAGUUGUAAUGCAGAGAGGUGUGUCGCUGCAGCGGCUCCGGUCCAGGGUACGACACCAGAGCUCCCAGAGGAACGUCAAACAGCACGGCCACUGAGGCUCACCCUGUUCCACAUAACAGAGAUUUUUACUUAACUUGGAUCACGAACCCCCCCUCUGAGGACCGACAGCAGCCCCCUGCCCCCUCUUGGGAUUCGAACCAUCAGCCUCUGUGGAACACAAAAGUGACUCUUCCUGCAGGCACUGCUGGGCUGCAGGUAAUUGCCCUGCUGGGUGAAUUGAGGUUACCGCAGUACUCCAAACCGCACUGCCACACAUUUGGCUGCAUAAAUUCUUAAUGUGCAAAUUGUUAAAAGCUAUGCAAAUUGCCCCGGAGGAGGGUAUCAGCUUUGCAAAUAAAUUAUGUAUCGUUCCUGUUCCCA